AUGCGAUCGCCUUCCUCCCUCAGCUUCUUUUCUCUACGCUCUGUCAGGCUGCAACAGCCUAAGUUUCUAUUUUCUAUCUGGGCUCCACUGGCAGUAGUAGGAUGCUCAUUGGCAACCCAAGAUGUGUGCUGCUGUGAGGCAUGUAGCACCACUUCUCCUGGGCGUCAUGGUCUCAUGGAAUGGACAUCAUGGGGCUUAUUAGGAACUCUGAGUUCAGCGGGCACCAUGCCGAAAGAGGUCAAUCUCUUCCAAUACACAAUUGCUGAGGUUCUCGAAGUCCGCCCUCUCAUUGACAGGGUGAAAGUUGUGGAAUUUUUGCUUUAA
Molecule: ribosomal RNA, 324 nt
Filed under: Triticum aestivum (bread wheat)
Lineage: Eukaryota; Viridiplantae; Streptophyta; Magnoliopsida; Poales; Poaceae
Description: partial small subunit ribosomal RNA
Source: RNAcentral